GCGGACAUAGUUUAAGCAAAACACUAGAUUGUGAUUCUAGAAAUGAGAGCUAACCCCCCUCUGUCCACC
RNAcentral lists this transfer RNA (69 nucleotides) under Fejervarya kawamurai. RNAcentral describes it as "tRNA-His". It matches the Rfam family "tRNA". Rfam says of the family: Transfer RNA (tRNA) molecules are approximately 80 nucleotides in length. Their secondary structure includes four short double-helical elements and three loops (D, anti-codon, and T loops). Further hydrogen bonds mediate the characteristic L-shaped molecular structure. tRNAs have two regions of fundamental functional importance: the anti-codon, which is responsible for specific mRNA codon recognition, and the 3' end, to which the tRNAs corresponding amino acid is attached (by aminoacyl-tRNA synthetases). tRNAs cope with the degeneracy of the genetic code in two manners: having more than one tRNA (with a specific anti-codon) for a particular amino acid; and 'wobble' base-pairing, i.e. permitting non-standard base-pairing at the 3rd anti-codon position. The record is from RNAcentral. Lineage: Eukaryota; Metazoa; Chordata; Amphibia; Anura; Dicroglossidae.